This 424-nucleotide ribosomal RNA is filed under the name uncultured prokaryote. RNAcentral describes it as "bacterial SSU rRNA". It matches the Rfam family "Bacterial small subunit ribosomal RNA", at positions 355 to 796 of the family's 1533-position model. The record is from RNAcentral.
UGGGGAAUAUUGGACAAUGGGGGAAACCCUGAUCCAGCAAUGCCGCGUGAGUGAAGAAGGCCUUAGGGUUGUAAAACUCUUUCAGUGGUGACGAUGAUGACGGUAGCCACAGAAGAAGCCCCGGCUAACUCCGUGCCAGCAGCCGCGGUAAUACGGAGGGGGCUAGCGUUGUUCGGAUUUACUGGGCGUAAAGCGCACGUAGGCGGCGGACUUAGUCAGAGGUGAAAGGCCUGGGCUCAACCUGGGAACUGCCUUUGAUACUGGUUCGCUGGAGUCCGGGAGAGGGUAGCGGAAUUCCCAGUGUAGAGGUGAAAUUCGUAGAUAUUGGGAAGAACACCGGUUGCGAAGGCGGCUACCUGGCCCGGUACUGACGCUGAGGUGCGAAAGCGUGGGGAGCAAACAGGAUUAGAUACCCGUGUAGUCC